UAUUCUAUACAUACACAUAUGUAGUAUUUUUUUAAAACAAAAUUUUCUUAUCAAAAAAUGUGGGAUUUAUGGCAAUUUUAAAGUGGAGAAGAGGGUAUAUUGUCAUGGAUGUGGUAUAAUUUAAAUGCCUAGUUUGCAAAUAUUUUUCCCAUUUCAUUUUCUCUUCACUUUAUUUAUUCUUUCUUUCGCUGUGCAGAGGCUUCUUAGGUUGAUAUAAUCCCAUUUGCCUAUUUUUGCUCUUAUUGCCUAUGUCUUAAGGGUCUUAACCAAAACAUCUUUGCCUACACCAAUGUCUUUCAGAAUUUCCUCUGUUUACCUCUAGUUGUUUGAUAGUUUCAGGUCUUAAGUUUAGAUCUUUGAUCCAUUUUGAGUUGAGUUUUGGAUUUUAUUUUUUUUUAACUUUUAUUUAAUGAAUAUAAAUUUCCAAAGUACAGCUUAUGGAUUACAAUGGCUUCCCCCCCAUAAUGUCCCUCCCACCAGCAUCCCUCCCCUUUCCCACUCCCUCUCCCCUUCCAUUCACAUCAAGAUUCAUUUUCAAUUCUCUUUAUAUACAGAAGAUCAGUUUAGCAUACAUUAAGUAAAGAUUUCAACAGUUUGCUCCCACACAGAAACAUAAAGUGAAAAAUACUGUUUGAGUACUAGUUAUAGCAUUAAAUCUCAAUGUACAGCACACUAAGGACAAAGAUCCUACAUGAGGAGUAAGUGCACAGUGACUCCUGUUGUUGACUUAACAAAUUGACACUCUUGUUUAUGGCCUCAGUAAUCACUCUAGGCUCUUGUUAUGAGCUGCCAGGCUAUGGAAGCCCCCUGAGUUCACUGACUCUGAUCAUAUUUAGACAAGGCCAUGGUCAAAGUGGAAGUUCUCUCCUCCCUUCAGAGAAAGGUACCUCCUUCUUUGAUGACCCAUUCUGUCCACUGGGAUCUCACUCGUGGAGAUGUUUCAUUUAGGUUUUUUUUUUCUUGCCAGAUUAUCUUGGCUUUCCAUGCCUGAAAUACUCUCAUGGGCAUUUCAGCCGGAUCCGCAUGCCUUAAGGGCUGAUUAUGAAGCCAGAGUGCUGUUAGGACAUUUGCCAUUCUAUGGGUCUGCUGUGUAUCUCACUUCUCUCCCUUUUUUAUUCUAUCAGCUAGUAUUUGCAGACACUAGUCUUGUUUAUGUGCUCCCUUUGGCUCUUAGUCCUAUCAUUAUGAUCAAUUGUGAACAGAAAUUGAUCACUGGGACUAGUGAGAUGGCAUUGGUACAUGCCACCUCGAUGGGAUUGAAUUCGAAUCCCCUGGUAUGUUUCUAACUCUACCGUUUGAAGUAAGUCAGCUUGAGCAUGUCCCGAAUUGCACAUCUCUUCCCUCUCUUAUUCCCACUCUUAUAUUUAACAGCGAUCACUUUUCAGUUAAGUUUCAGCACUUAUGAAGAAUUGUGUAUUGAUUACAGUAUUCAACCAAAAGUAUUAAGUAGAACAAACAAACAAAAAUACUAAGAGGGAUAACAUAUUAAGCUGCUCAUCAACAGUCAGGGUGAGGGCUGAUCAAGUCACCGUUUCUCAUAGUGUUCAUUUCACUUUAACAGGUUUCCUUUUUGGUGCUCAGUUAGUUGUCACCUAUCAAGGAGAACAAGUGGUAUUUGUCCCUUUGGGAUUGGCUUAUUUCACUCAACAUAAUGUUUUCCAAAUUCCUAACAGGGAUCAAUUUUCAGUUAAAAUUUAAACACCUAAGAAUAAUUGUGUGUUAAUUACAGAGUUCAACCAAUUGUACUAGAACAAAAAAAAAAUACUAAAAUGGACAAAGUAUUACAUUGUAUAUCAACCUUCAGGACAAGAGCUGAUCAAGUCACUGUUUUAGUUGACUUUUAGUCAACUUUUAUAUAGUUGACUUUUAGGUAUAAGGUCAUGGCUCUUGUUAUGAACUUCUACAUGUGGAAAUUCAGUUUUCCCUGCAUUGUUUGUUGAUGAGACUGUCCUUUCUCUAUGGAAUGAUUACCUGGCAAGGCUGACUUCAUCAAAAUACUGAGAAAAUAAGCUGGAUGUUAUCAUGAUUCCAUUAUCGUCUCUUUCCCCCACAAACACAUAGUAGAGGGGAUAAGACUUCAUUUUCCUGCCAUACCUCACUUGAACUCAAAUGCCCAUAGACAGCUUAGUUGUGGUCUGUAGUACAAACUUUCUAUUCACUUCAAAUAUGUUUUGCCCUGGUAGUUGUCUGAUUGAUAUCCUUUCUCACUUCCUCCUUGUUAUGAAAAUCUCAACACAAUCUGGAGGUGACCAUAUACCAACUAAUCCCCUUGUGAUUCAGUUCUGUAAAUGCACUAACUUUUGAUCAGAGAAAUGAAAGCCAUCUGUUGAAGACAGAUGAAUAGAACAACAGCAGAAGCCUGAUUCUCUGAUGGCUUUGUGAAUUUUGACCUCUUGUUUCAUGAAUGACAGUCUGGUUAAGUUAUUGUUGUUAAGUUUCUGUUACAUUCAGGUAUGCACACAUAACAGAAUUUGAUUUUACAUAGGAGUCAAAAUGUUAUGUAAGUCAGACAUUGAAAGACAAAUAUCAUGCAUUCUCUUUCAUAUAUGAAGGCUUUAAAAAAGCAGAUUUGAAUGUAGAACAGUGUUUACUAGGGACUGGGAAGUAGAGGGAAGUCAGAGAACGAGCACUGGAACACGGAACACAGAUAGAAAGGAUCAGGUCUGUGGUUCUACACACUGUGGGACAACCACAGUUUAAAAUGGGCUAUUCCAUAUUUUAUGAGUAAACAGAAGAGAGAACCUCGUUUUGAAACAUUACAUAGUGAUAAGGAGAUGGAAACAUUGGUUACUUUAAUUUGAUCAGUGUACAUGGUACAUGUGUAUUGGAAACACACUGUUCUAUAAAUUUGUAUAAUUAUUACAUGUUAAUCAAUAAUUUAAAAAUUGAGAUUGAAAUGCUCACUACUCUGAUUUGAUCAUUACACAUUACAUGCAUUUUCAAAUUAUCUACCGUAUCCUAUAAAUAUGUAUGUAUAAUUAAAAUAAUAAUUAUACUAAAGAAAAAAACAGAUUGUGGGAUAUACAUGGGGUGAAUGGGCUAGGUAAUAUUUGGGUGGUGAGUAACCCAGACAUUGGAAAUUGGUGACCUUUUUUUAUGGACAUAUUUUAUUUUGUGUUAUCUUAGCCCUUUAUGCAUAUUGAAUGGACAGUUUUUAAUUGAAAUUUAUUCAAUUCACUUAAUUUACAUUUAUUUUAAUUAACUUUUAAAAAUUAUACAUAUUAAUGGAAUACCAUCUCAUAUUUUGAUGCAUGCAUAUGAGGAAAUUUUCAGUAAGUUCAUGGACAAUGUGUGUUAUUAAAAUGUCCUCAGGCACAGGUCGAAGCCUGGCCGUACUAGCCAUGCCGAACCGCAGGGCCAGCCUUAAUGCCUACUACUUCUUUGUGCAGGAGAAGAUCCCCGAACUGCACCGGCAAGGUCUGCCCGUGGCUCGUGUGCCGGACGAAAAAAAAAUGUCCUCAGGUUAAAAGAGAACAUUUAGGUAAGAUUUUAGCCACACACAGCAUACAAUUUACUAUAUUUUACAUAAAACCAGAAUUGACUAUGUCUAACUCUUGUGGCUAUACCUGAGCUUCUGAAUUCAGCCAGUAAGAAGAAAAUUAUGAGAGCUCUGAAGCCCAGAGAAUGGAGUGAAGUAAUUUUUUUUUUUCUGAUUCCUGUCUUAAACAUCAUAUUGGAGUUUGAUAGACUAGAAGUAUCCUGCUCAGAGUUUAGAACCAGCACAACGGAAUGGAAUCUUGUUGGAUUAACUAAGCACAUACUAGAAUCUUCCUUAUCCCUGUCUAAUAGGGCUAUCUUUUUUACUAAGGGUGAGGGUACUUGUUGUUAUCUGAUUACUUCCACCAUUGCACAGUAUGAUAUGUAGGAAACAGAAGCUAGUCUGUUAAUCAUAUAGAUCAGGAGACACAAGGAGACGCAUCCUAUUCAGAUGGAGAGGAAUACACAUCAUCCAGAGAUCUGGAAUUUGGAUAGGAUUAAUCAAAGGAAUGAGACUUUAGGAUCAUCUCUUUUGGCAGGGUAUGUGUUUAUUUAGAGACAGACUAUGUCAGACAUCACUACUUUUUAACCCAACAUUUAGAUUUUUAUUUCUUGCCAAAACUUCCCUAAGUUUUGGAGAUAGUGAAAGAUCAGUUUAAAAUGGAAAAUUUGCCCCUUCAGGUGCGCUUGCAGUUGCGUAUGACCCUAUAUCCCUUUAAAGCCUCUAAGAUGGGUUAACUGGGUGGAGAUUCCCAGAGAGCUGUUAUUUUCUUCAGAAAAAUGAGCACCCUGGUUGUCACACACAUUUCACUUUCCACCCAUAUCCUGAAAGCCCCUCCUGGAACACAAGUGCAACCACUUGUCAGGUUAGAAAUACAAACUCCUAAAUGAUUAAGAAAUUUAUGUCAGCCUUCUUUUAUGUGGCAGUUAAAGUUUAUUAUCCUGAGAGAAGCAUAUUAUAGAUAUUCAAACAAAACACAAUUCUAGACACCAGGAAAAUUUAAAUACCUCUUAGCAAUGUAAUUUUUAGGGAAUAAUGAAACAGUAGAAAAUAAAACAAAAACAAUACAUAGCCCCUGCAACUAAUAUCCCUGUUGAGAUGUUCUAAAUAGCCACAGGUUGCUAUAAAAGGAUUUGAGUAAGAUAUCCUUCAAGAAUAGGAUUGAAGUCUCCACAUUUUGCCUGGUCACACAACCACUCUCCUAUUUGCUGAGUCCUGCCCAGAAGUCAUGUCUUCCAAGGCAGAGAAAGGAAAUGGCCUCGAGGCUGCAGUUCAGAGCCAUUACAAAUCGACUGGUCUUCCCUCAUUACCCAGUAUGUGGGGCAUGUCUGCAUUGGAUCCAAAGGCCAGAGAAGGGGCUUUCUUUCUGGAGGGAGCAAACCAGAUAGCCAUACAAAUCAGAUAGCAUUAUCAGCACAAUUUGAAAAAGAAUAUGCCUGCAUUCUUGUUUUUAGAAGCCCAAAGGCUUAACAUACAGCAGACUCAGCCUACAAUUCUAGAUCUCAUCCUAAUCUUUUUAAGCAUUUUCUAGGAGUACAUGGCGGAUAACAAAUUGUGAUGACUGAUCUUCUGGUGUAAACAAAACAUUUUGGGUAGUACCAUUGUUAGAAAAUCUCUAAAGGGCUUUUUCUAUGGGGCAAGCUACAAACCACUGCUUUCUGCAAACCUAUAAAAGUCAAGUUCUGGCAUCUAUGACGAAUGACAGGAUGGGAACUCUCAUAGAAAAAGUGCUCUCACUCAUGAAAUGCUUCCAUAGAAACUGAUAGGAACCAGUGUAACUGGCUGGAGUUGUGGCUGGCAAUUCUUGCUUUUCAAAGGGUACCCUAGAAAACAAGUACAGAUUCAAGUACAGGCAAAUCAAAUUUCACAGAUGAGGAUGCUUAUAUAGUUUGCUGAAAUGGGCCUUCAGCAAACCAUUGCUCUCCUCACUUCCCUAGAUGGGACGGCUGUGUGGAGGCUGAUGUGAUGUCACACACUCAUGUUCUUACACUUCUCUUAAUACUGUUUGAUUUCUGAUUGCAGGACAAAUGAAAGCAUGGUUAUUCUGACAGCUCCCUCACUUUUAUUUACUACAUUAAAAAGAUGUAUCAUAUAUGCUUCUAUGAUUCUUAAUUUGUAUUCAAAUAAAUUUGGCAUUUUCUGUAAAAAUAAAGUAUUAUGAAACACAAUCUGGAUUGGCACUGAAACUUGGAGGUGUGGUAAGGGCUAAGAGUCAAAAUCUUUCACAUGUUAGAGUGCCUAGAUGAUGUAAACAACACACAGCUCCUCUAGCUUUUCAGGCUACAUGAAAACCAAUCACUGUGAUGGGUCUGCAAAUCUAUCUCAUCUAUUAAAUGAUAGGAGAUAUUCUGUUCAACAAAUCAAGGAAAAGUUCCAUUCACUAGGUUGAAUUUAUACAAAUUAUGUAAAUUAAGUAAAACUUAAGUUUUACUUGAGAAGAAUGUGAGAAAUAAGAGGAAUGGACUUCUAUCUACUUGGCUAUUUCUUGUCCAUUAAAGGAGUUCUUUUCUUUUUUCUUUUUUCUUUUUUUUUUUUUUUGACAGGCAUAGUUAGACAAUGAGAGAGAGAGAGAGAGAGAGAGAGAGAGAGAGAGAGAAAGGUCUUCCUUCUGUUGGUUCACCCCUAAAAUGGCCACCAUGGCUGGAGCUACCACAAUCCAAAGCCCGGAGCUAGGUGCUUCCUCCUGGUCUCCCAUGCGGGUGCAGGGACCCAAGCACUUGGGCCAUUCUCUACUGCCUUCCCAGGCCACAGCAGAGAGCUGGACUGGAAGAGGAGCAACUGGGAAAGAAUCCAGCACUCCAACUGGGACUAGAUUCCGGAGUACCAGUGCCGCAGGCGAAAGAUUGGCCUAGUGAGCUGCAGUGCCAGCCCAUUAAAAGAGUUCUAAGAUUCUUCAACAUAUAUCAGUGUUCCAAAAAUUAUGAUUUAUAAACUACUGAUUUAACUAUACUCCCAUUUUACUGAGGCAGCAGCUGAGGUACACAGAUACCCAACAUUUUGUGUGUGCCUGUAACUAUUUCAGGUGCAUGUUGUCUGUCAGUAAAAACACUGUGCGCUUUUAAGAACCAUAUGGUGCCGGCGCCGUGGCUCACUAGGCUAAUCCUCUGCCUGCAGCACUGGCACAAUGGGUUCUAGUCCCGGUCGGGGUGCCGGAUUCUGUCCCGGUUGCCCCUCUUCCAGACCAGCUCUCUGCUGUGGCCAGGGAGUGCAGUGGAGGAUGGCCCAAGUGCUUGGGCCCUACACCCCAUGGGAGACCAGGAAAGUAUCUGGCUCCUGCCAUGGGAUCAGCACGGUGCGCCGGCCGCAGCGGCGGCCAUUAGAGGGUGAACUAGCAGCAAAGGAAGACCUUUCUCUCUGUCUCUCUCUCUCUCUCACUGUCCACUCUGCCUGUCAAAAAAAUAAAUAAAUAAAAGAAAAAAAAAGAACCAUAUGGCCUUAUUAGCAAGUGCUUUUGUUUGGGCAGUGAAAAGCCCUGAAGAGGGACAAAGAGAAUUAAUUAAUUUGUUAGAAGCAGCUCAUCAGGAAAGAAGGAGGCAUUAUUUGGGACUGGGAAGGGGUUUGGGGCUUUAGGGUUUUUGAGCAGAAAUGGUAUGAUGCCAUGGUAUACUGGGAUAUGGAACAUCAGCAUGGAUCUCUGGUAGCCAGCAUUGUGACACCACUCUUGUGUCAGUCCAGAGCAUCAGGACCUGAUAGAUAGUGGAACAAGCUGGGAACAGAAUGCCCAAAGGACAGAAAGGGCACUCAUGAUGCCAAGACUUAAGAACUGGAGCCCUUUCUAUUUCAUCUAAAUGCCUGGGCGCAUAUAUAAGCUAAGAGGUGAUAACACCCAAAAUGACAGAGAUAAAACUUUCUUCAAUCAUGACUAGAGAGGUUUCAUGGAUGGAUUGAUUCAAACAAGAAUGUAGGGCAAGUUCAUAGACCAGGACAGUGUGAGUACAAGAGAACUGUACCUGGUCACACUGAGGAAGUUUCCUUCUUUUAGGGUAUUAGAAUUUUGCAUGCAAGCACUGGUUUUAUUGGGUAUUCAUCUCGGAACCUGUUUGUGUAACGUGAUUUACCAGUGGAUGUUUUCUGAGCACUCUAGAGGGUAAUGCCAGUCAUUUCUUCCUUUGGUCUCAGGGGGCUUUGUUGGGCUCUCACCCACCAAAGGCAGAGGCAUUUUUUGUAUAAGAGUCACAUAGGGGCUGGCGCUGCGGCUCAAUAGGCUAAUCCUCCGCCUAGUGGCGCCGGCACACCGGGUUCUAGUCCUGGUUGGGGCACUGGAUUCUGUCCCGGUUGCCCCUCUUCCAGGCCGGCUCUCUGCUGUGGUCAGGGAGUGCAGUGGAGGAUGGCCCAAGUGCUUGGGCCCCUGCACCCCAUGGGAGAUCAGGAGAAGCACCUGGCUCCUGCCAUCGGAUCAGCACGGUGUGCUGGCUGCAGCGGGCCGGCCGCAGCGGCCAUUGGAGGGUGAACCAAUGGCAAAAGGAAGACCUUUCUCUCUGUCUCUCUCUCUCUCACUGUCCACUCUGCCUGUCAAAAAAAAAAAAAAAAAAAGAAAGAGUGAGUCACAUAGGAAAGAUUUUUGAAAGGAAAAUCUGUGCCUCCAUGAUGGAUGGCAGUAAGACAACAUGGAUUUGUCUGCAGCGUUUCUCUUAAACAAUAGGAGAUAGAGCACAUGUGUUUCAUCUUCUCUAGAUAUUCAGAAACUCAGUGUUUAAUGACACAGACAAAUUCUGGGGACAGGGGUAUGACAACAACGCAAAACCAGAGAAGCAAAGAACAUUUAGUGGAAGUCAUUUAUUUUGGAAGCAAUGAAGUCAUUUGUCUCCAUCCAGCAAUGUAUCUAUUGAUCUGUUUUUCUAUUGGGAUAAAAGAAAAGAAAUAAUCUUUGACUGAAGAAGAAAGAGAUCCCAUAUGCACAAAAGAUCUUACCUGCUCUGGCAGGUGUGCUGGCCUGUGGCUUUCUCCAGCAGCUUUGGAAGUUGAAUCAUCGGCAGAGGUGGGAAUGCUCCUGUACUUCAGGCUAUUUUUUGAAGCUCAGAUUGUCAUUGUGCAAACAAAGCAAGACAGAGAUCCCUCACCCUGGCAAGAUUUUGCAGUAUGCUUAUCUGAGUUGCAAGUCCAAUGUCAUUUUGAAUGUUGUUAUGCAUUUUUCUCCUAUACCACUUCCUUACUAUCUUUUAGGUCAAUAAAAUAUUCUGAAAUAUUAUAAAUACAUGAAAAAUACAGAAAUAAAUAAAAUGAACUGAAUUUACUCUCCUCUGCUUUUACAUGUUUCCUUUAUUUUAUUUUAAAUAAUGUAACAUUUCCUUGAUUUUAAAUAAUAUUUAAAACAGGUGUUCAUUUUAUUUUCCUCUCUUCUCCUAUUACCUUCUCAUCUUCCAUUCCUGUAGGUGACUCUUACUUGAUUUGUUGACUAUUCAUGCAUGCAUUUUUAAUAUUUUGUCUACACACACAUAUGUAUAUAUAUAUGUGUGUAUAUAUAUGUGUGUGUAUAUAUAUAUAUAUAUACAUAUAUAUGUAUAUAUACAGGCAGACAGAUCGUAUAAAUGCUUAAAAUUCUGGGCCAUGGGCCAAUGCUGAGUUGUACUAGGUCAAGCCUUUGCCUGAGGCACCCACAUGCGAUAUGGGCACCCGUUCAUGUUCAGGCUGCUCCUCUUCUGAUCCAGCUCUCUGCUAUGGCCUGGGAAAGUGGUAGAAAAUGGCCCAAGAGCUUCAGUCCUUGCACCCACAUGGGAGACCCGGAAGAAGCUCCUGGCUUCUGGUUUUGGAUAGCCCCAUCUUAGGCUGUUAUGGCCAUUUGGGGAGUGAAUCAGUGGGUGGAUGAUCUUGCUCUCUGUCUCUCCCUGUCUCUGUAAUUAUUUCAAAUAAAUAAACAAAAUAGUAAAAUAAGGAGUAAAAUAAUACUCUGGAUUGUGUUAUGUGUCACUCUGUAACUUACAGUUUUUGAUGAAUGUGCUUUUGAAAGUUGGUUAUUAUAAGUUAUACAUAACUAAUAUUUGAAUAGCUUUGCUAUAUGAGAGCAUCAUAUGGAAAAUAGACAAAAAUAAAAGUUGAUUUCAGUGCAAAAAGUUUUGAAAUCAUGCAAAUGAGGGGUCCUUAAAAAUUCAUGAGAAUUUAUAUUGUAAAUAAGCUAUGCAUUGAGUUAAAAUAAAAUUUUGCUCCAGAGUAAACUUACUUUAAAUUCAGUUUCCAUGAACUUUAAUAAAAAGGUUUAUUAAUUUAUUAUUUUUUGCUUAUUUGAAAUGAAGAAGAGAGGGGGAAACAGAAAGAGAUAAAGAGAUAGUCUCUUGUGGGCUCACUUCCCAAAUGGCUACAAUGGCCAAGGCUGGGCCAAGCCAAAGUCAGGAAAUCCAUCUGUAUCUCCCACAUAGGUAGCAGGGUCCCAAAUUCAUGGGUCAUCUUCUGCUGCUUUUCCCAAGCAUAUUAGCAUGGAGCUGGAUCAGAAGCAGAGCAUCCCUUUUUGGAGCAUAGGGUUCAAGCACUAUCUGUUCUGCUUAGGGCUGGGCCAGGAGCCAAGAGCUUCUUCCUGUUUGCCCACAUGGUUUUAGGGACCCAAGCACUUGAGCCAUUUUCCACUGCUUUCCCAGGUGUAUUAUCAGGAAUCUGGAUUGGAGGUAGAGCAGCCAGUACUGGAACCAGCCCCUGCCAGCACUGCAGGUGGAGGCUUAACUUUCUGUGCCACAGCACUGUCCCUAAUAAAUCUUUUUUAAAAAAGAAAAAAUGUGUCUUAAACCUAAAAUAUUGACAAUUAUGGAUAAAUUAAAAUCUCUAUGAUUCUAUAAUUUGAGUGUGUUGGCCAUAUCAAUCUUAUAACUCUGUCAAAUUCUGCUCUGGCAUUGGUAUGAUGGACUAGCCAUGACUCAUGGAGCUUAUCUGGUCUCCUUCCCUUAAAGUAGUGUGGCAUCUCUUAGCUCAUGGAUCACCAUGUCACACUGUUUAUCCUCAGCUUCAAUUUUCUUAUUUUCUCAUUGAUCUCUUUGGAAACAAACAAACAAAAAAACAUGAGAAAGUGAACUAGACCAAAAAUUAGCACUUUUGGAGUGGUAGAAUAAAAUUUAAGUCACACUUUAGCCAAUAAUUGUUAGCCCUCUGAGCUUGAGUAAGCAAAUUAGCUUACUUUCCUCAUAUAGUAAAAGGGACCGACAAUGCCAUCUGUGUUAUAAGGUUAUCAUGAGCAUUAAGAAACAAUAUGCAUAUGAAAGUUCCCAGUUCUCUACCUGGUACACCGUUGAGGCUCAAAACAUCAUAUGUUCUCUUCCUUUUUCCUUUCAGAAAGGCAAUUGUAUGUCAGAGGCAUUAUCUCCUCAACCAGCCAUGUUGAGGGCUGUAAUUGACUGGAAGACUCCUGCUAGACAAGUCUUCACUAAUUUUUGUGCCUCUUGCACUAGCUAGUCUUCUGGGUAAGCCAGGCAUUUGUUUCCUUAAUUGUUCUAUUUCCUGAGAUUUCUCUUCAGUCUGGAAUUAAUAGAUAAGUCAGAUUCUCUUGUGCCGUGUACUCGUCCUCCUGGAUGUCCUUCUGACCCAUUAUGUUUCUUUCCCGGCACUUACUCUCUAAUUUCUUGUUCCUUUUGAGCGAUCUGAGUUCCCUUGAAAAUAGCCUCCAAAGCACCAUUGCUGAGAGCUGAACACAGCUCUUAGCCUUUGGUGAGAAAUAAAGAUCCAAUUGUCAUGGGGUGAAAAUCCUCUCUCCUGUGGAUAUAUUCUGUACUGUUUUAUCUUUUUGUUAAAGGAAAGAAUACACUGAAUAGCAAAAAUCCUUGUUUUAAGUGGAAGAUUUACUAUGAAUGAUCAAGGACAUGUACAAGUUUAGACUCUUUGCAAGUGCAAAGUAUGCCUGUUGUAUUAUCUUUCCUAGUGACAAUUAUAUCUAAGUUUAAUUGUCUAGAUGGCUUAGGGCACAUUCUGUGACAACAAUGUGAUUAAAAAAUUCAAAAUGGCUUAUAUUUUCCAGGAUCCUGAAUACUGAUGAAAAUAUGCAUUCUAGAGUUUAUCUUACCCUUGAUUAAAUUUACCAACAACAUCAUUUAUUCUUUAAUUAAACUCCUGUUUGUUGAUUAUCUACUUCACACCAGACACCAUGAGAGGUUACAAGGAAACAUAAGUCUGCAUGAAGAAUGGUGUCCCACACAGGAAACCCAGGUUGUAUUCCUGGUACCCAGCUUCGUCCUCAUUCAGCCCCUGGUGUUACAGACAUUUGGGGAGGAAACCAGCGGAUGGAAGAUAUCUGCAGAGUCCAGGACCAUGGAUAGGAAAAUGAAUUUGUGAGGAAAGGUGACAAGAAGCUUCUGGAAGGUGA
Non-coding RNA from Oryctolagus cuniculus (rabbit), 11756 nucleotides. NCBI's taxonomy places the organism in Eukaryota, Metazoa, Chordata, Mammalia, Lagomorpha, Leporidae. The record is from RefSeq and is a predicted model, not a curated record.